This 866-nucleotide long non-coding RNA is filed under the name Pongo abelii (Sumatran orangutan). RNAcentral describes it as "lincRNA". The record is from RNAcentral. Lineage: Eukaryota; Metazoa; Chordata; Mammalia; Primates; Hominidae.
CGGAAAGGCGCCUGGGCUGGUGACGGUGUCAAGUGUAGGCAAGAAACACGGCUGAUCAAGAAGCGACUUGACCUCCCUCGCACAAGACUGAGUCCCUUUGCGGCAGGGGCCCUUCCUGCAGCGAAUCCUACUUGGAACCUUGCCUCAUGCGAUGUCUCUGUAAUUCUAGGCCACGGAAGCCUUGGGUCACCCUUUCAGCCUGGUUCUCUCCUGUGGUGCUGGCGUGUUUCUCUUGCCUGUUGGGGUCAGCUGCGUCCAACCUCGGCUCCUGCAGGAUUGCCCGGGCAACCCAGAGGAGAUGGGCGGGCGUGGAGGUCCUCCCUGGAUGACCCUUCCUACCAUUUCAACAUCGUUAGGAAUUUAACAGGCUUUUGCAAGAAGGCCCAGUCUCCCUGCUUCCUGGCCUAUUUAAAAGCACCGAUUUUCACAUUCUCCCAAAGGCUCCGGAAGUUUUACAGACAGCAUCUUUCUAGCCUCGCCCUGGGUCUCUUUCUGGUCAUUUGACUGAGGCUGAACACAGCCCAGAUGGGAGUUUCAUUCCCUUCACCUCCCCCAACUCCCAGCGGAGGGAGGCUGGCCCCAGACACAGGACACAGCUUCCUGACUCUGCAGGCAGGAGCCUGGCUUGUUGGUGAGUGGGCAUCCUCAUUGCUGCUGGAGUUUUCCAUCCUCGUUCCACAACAAGCCAAGUCAGCAAGUUGCUGCCAGGAACCUUCACACCUUGUGCUUUGGGAUCUGAGGGGAAACACACACACACCGGCACCACCCUCCCUGAGCCCCGCAUCAGCGGAGAGCAACCUACUGAGGAAAAUGAUGGAGUAAUUUCCUGGGCACACUUCAGGCGUGGUGCCAGGUAACAGGCCCUG